UGGGGAAUUUUGGACAAUGGGCGAAAGCCUGAUCCAGCAAUGCCGCGUGUGUGAAGAAGGCCUUCGGGUUGUAAAGCACUUUUGUCCGGAAAGAAAUCCUUGGCUCUAAUACAGUCGGGGGAUGACGGUACCGGAAGAAUAAGCACCGGCUAACUACGUGCCAGCAGCCGCGGUAAUACGUAGGGUGCAAGCGUUAAUCGGAAUUACUGGGCGUAAAGCGUGCGCAGGCGGUUUGCUAAGACCGAUGUGAAAUCCCCGGGCUCAACCUGGGAACUGCAUUGGUGACUGGCAGGCUAGAGUAUGGCAGAGGGGGGUAGAAUUCCACGUGUAGCAGUGAAAUGCGUAGAGAUGUGGAGGAAUACCGAUGGCGAAGGCAGCCCCCUGGGCCAAAUACUGACGCUCAUGCACGAAAGCGUGGGGAGCAAAACAGGAUUAGAUACCCUGGUAGUCCACGCCCUAAACGAUGUCAACUAGUUGUUGGGGAUUCAUUUCCUUAGUAACGUAGCUAACGCGUGAAGUUGACCGCCUGGGGAGUACGGUCGCAAGAUUAAAA
RNAcentral lists this ribosomal RNA (553 nucleotides) under uncultured bacterium. RNAcentral describes it as "partial 16S ribosomal RNA". It matches the Rfam family "Bacterial small subunit ribosomal RNA", at positions 355 to 899 of the family's 1533-position model. The record is from RNAcentral.